This 218-nucleotide long non-coding RNA is filed under the name Lathyrus oleraceus (garden pea). RNAcentral's name for it is "Pisum sativum (pea) long non-coding RNA (PSAT_LNC008524)". The record is from RNAcentral. Lineage: Eukaryota; Viridiplantae; Streptophyta; Magnoliopsida; Fabales; Fabaceae.
UUUGUUUGGUCUAAACAAGAAACAUACUAUUUAUUUUAUACUCAUUGAUUAUAAACAAGCAAAUCAUCAUGUCCCAAUUGAAACAAUAUCCAACUUUUUCAUUAUUGAUUUAUGAAAGUGUCAUAAAUACACUGGUUCUUGUAGAAGUGAUCGUAAGACGAUUGAGAUCGAAUUGUUUGUCUUUCAUUGAAAUAUUUUAGGAUCGAGUCUAAUUCUUU